Molecule: ribosomal RNA, 440 nt
Filed under: uncultured bacterium
Lineage: Bacteria
Description: partial 16S ribosomal RNA
Rfam family: Bacterial small subunit ribosomal RNA
Source: RNAcentral
CCUACGGGAGGCAGCAGUAGGGAAUAUUGCUCAAUGGGGGAAACCCUGAAGCAGCAACGCCGCGUGGAGGAUGAAGGUUUUCGGAUUGUAAACCCCUUUUGUUAGAGAAGAUAAUGACGGUAUCUAACGAAUAAGCACCGGCUAACUCCGUGCCAGCAGCCGCGGUAAUACGGAGGGUGCAAGCGUUACUCGGAAUCACUGGGCGUAAAGAGCGCGUAGGCGGGAUAGCAAGUCAGAUGUGAAAUCCUAUGGCUUAACCAUAGAACUGCAUUUGAAACUGUUAUUCUAGAGUAUGGGAGAGGUAGGUGGAAUUCUUGGUGUAGGGGUAAAAUGCGUAGAGAUCAAGAGGAAUACUCAUUGCGAAGGCGACCUGCUAGAACAUAACUGACGCUGAUGCGCGAAAGCGUGGGGAGCAAACAGGAUUAGAUACCCUAGUAGUC